Molecule: ribosomal RNA, 484 nt
Filed under: uncultured bacterium
Lineage: Bacteria
Description: partial 16S ribosomal RNA
Rfam family: Bacterial small subunit ribosomal RNA
Source: RNAcentral
GACGAACGCUGGCGGCGUGCUUAACACAUGCAAGUCGAACGGAAAGGCCCUGCUUUUGUGGGGUGCUCGAGUGGCGAACGGGUGAGUAACACGUGAGUAACCUGCCCUUGACUUUGGGAUAACUCCAGGAAACUGGGGCUAAUACCGGAUAGGAGCUCCUGCUGCAUGGUGGGGGUUGGAAAGUUUCGGCGGUUGGGGAUGCACUCGCGGAUUAUCAGCUUGUUGGUGGGGUAGUGGCUUACCAAGGCUUUGACGGGCAGCCGGCCUGAGAGGGUGACCGGCCACAUUGGGACUGAGAUACGGCCCAGACUCCUACGGGAGGCAGCAGUGGGGAAUAUUGCACAAUGGGCGGAAGCCUGAUGCAGCAACGCCGCGUGCGGGGUGACGGCCUUCGGGUUGUAAACCGCUUUCGCCUGUGACGAAGCGUGAGUGACGGUAAUGGGUAAAGAAGCACCGGCUAACUACGUGCCAGCAGCCGCAGUAA